AAGGUCUUAGCUUAAUUAAAGCGUCUGGGUUGCAUUCAGGAGAUGCAGAGUAAUGUUCUGCAGGUCUUA
Molecule: transfer RNA, 69 nt
Filed under: Leptosomus discolor (cuckoo roller)
Lineage: Eukaryota; Metazoa; Chordata; Aves; Leptosomiformes; Leptosomidae
Rfam family: tRNA
About the family: Transfer RNA (tRNA) molecules are approximately 80 nucleotides in length. Their secondary structure includes four short double-helical elements and three loops (D, anti-codon, and T loops).
Source: Rfam by way of RNAcentral